AGUGAACGCUGGCGGUAGGCCUAACACAUGCAAGUCGAACGGCAGCACAGUAAGAGCUUGCUCUUACGGGUGGCGAGUGGCGGACGGGUGAGGAAUACAUCGGAAUCUACUUUUUCGUGGGGGAUAACGUAGGGAAACUUACGCUAAUACCGCAUACGACCUACGGGUGAAAGCAGGGGAUCUUCGGACCUUGCGCGAUUGAAUGAGCCGAUGUCGGAUUAGCUAGUUGGCGGGGUAAAGGCCCACCAAGGCGACGAUCCGUAGCUGGUCUGAGAGGAUGAUCAGCCACACUGGAACUGAGACACGAUCCAGACUCCUACGGGAGGCAGCAGUGGGGAAUAUUGGACAAUGGGCGCAAGCCUGAUCCAGCCAUACCGCGUGGGUGAAGAAGGCCUUCGGGUUGUAAAGCCCUUUUGUUGGGAAAGAAAAGCAGCAGGUUAAUACCCCGCUGUUCUGACGGUACCCAAAGAACAAGCACCGGCUAACUUCGUG
Molecule: ribosomal RNA, 492 nt
Filed under: uncultured bacterium
Lineage: Bacteria
Description: partial 16S ribosomal RNA
Rfam family: Bacterial small subunit ribosomal RNA
Source: RNAcentral